RNAcentral lists this ribosomal RNA (253 nucleotides) under uncultured bacterium. RNAcentral's name for it is "partial 16S ribosomal RNA". It matches the Rfam family "Bacterial small subunit ribosomal RNA", at positions 524 to 776 of the family's 1533-position model. The record is from RNAcentral.
UACGUAGGGGGCAAGCGUUGUCCGGAAUCAUUGGGCGUAAAGAGCGCGUAGGCGGCCCGAUAAGUCCGCUGUGAAAGUCAAGGGCUUAACCCUUGAAUGCCGGUGGAAACUGUCGGGCUAGAGUCCGGAAGAGGAGAGUGGAAUUCCUGGUGUAGCGGUGAAAUGCGCAGAUAUCAGGAAGAACACCCGUGGCGAAGGCGGCUCUCUGGGACGGUACUGACGCUGAGACGCGAAAGCGUGGGGAGCGAACAGG